GAAGACCUACGGGGGGCAGCAGUAGGGAAUUUUCGGCAAUGGGGGGAACCCUGACCGAGCAACGCCGCGUGAAGGAAGAAGGAAUUCGUUCUGUAAACUUCUGUUAUAAAGGAAGAAAGACGGAUGGAGGAAAUGACAUCCGAGUGACGGUACUUUAUGAGAAAGCCACGGCUAACUACGUGCCAGCAGCCGCGUUCAUACGUAUGUGGCAAGCGUUAUCCGGCAUUAUUUGGCGUACA
Molecule: ribosomal RNA, 239 nt
Filed under: uncultured bacterium
Lineage: Bacteria
Description: partial 16S ribosomal RNA
Rfam family: Bacterial small subunit ribosomal RNA
Source: RNAcentral